Molecule: long non-coding RNA, 1070 nt
Organism: Haliotis rufescens (red abalone)
Lineage: Eukaryota; Metazoa; Mollusca; Gastropoda; Lepetellida; Haliotidae
Exons: 2
Source: RefSeq, a predicted model, not a curated record
UUGGCCCGUGAUCUUCAGAAAAAGCAGAGGGCAUGCUUUUAUACAUAGGCUGUCGCCAGGUGCAAGUAAAAAGCCUAUGUUGACACCUACUUGUAUGCAAGAGUAGAUUAAUACAAAUAUGACGUAAUAUUCGUAUUUGGCAUUCUACAAAAAUACAUAAAUGAUAGAAGGGGUCUGAAUUCGUCCCCUGUACGUCCACAUCAGCGUUUUCAAAAUGGAACGGACAAUUGGAUUUCUCUGACUGUGAGUGUGUGGGUGGGAAGGAUUUUAUCAGAAAAAAAUAAAUUGUCUCAGAAAUUGAUUGAAAAAUAAUUAUGCUUCAAACUGUUGAACAAAAAGAACAUGUGGGCAACCAAAAAUAAAUUGUUGCAAGGUGUGUUUUUGUUAAACAAAAGUUUUAUUUAGGCUCAUAGUUUAUACCUGGUUUUGCAUCCGUAGCUGAAAAAAUAUCUAGUCUCCCUCACAUUCUUACUAGCCCACUAGCCCGUGUCAGUUUGUCGAAUGUAAAAGGUAUUGUGAAGGCUAGCAUAACAGAGGGUUCUUAUAUGGUAUCACUAUUCGGCCCAGCAAACGUUUAAGGUUAAUGUCUACAAGUGAUGAUCCAUAUGAAAAUGAACAAAAUUCGCCCUGUUUCGAGUAAUGGAGGCACGAAAAACACCCAGCUUCACCAGCACGUUUUUCAAACUCUAAACUGAUGUAUGCAACGUUUCAGUUGUAAGUUACAACUUAAGCCUGGUGUUCAGACGAAAUAAAUCCGUCUGUUUUCAGCCUCUGCAAUGCCAUUAGGCUUGACCACGCCGGAAGCUGUCGAUGAGCCUCGUUCUGAGUCCUCGAACUCCGUAACGUAGUUACCGUUGCCGUUACCCACGUCCCUUCUGUUUACAACAGAAAAACGAUCGCAUUUGCUCCGCUGACCUCUACGUUUCGCUCACUGCUGUAUCUUUCCAAGUGUGCCUUCUUCCAAGAUGAACACAAGGCUUCACAUUCAAGCUCGGGAGGACAUAAUUCGCUAUUAUGGCACUCCUGCGGCUGUGAGUUUGUGGCCGUCUCAGGAUGAGGAGUCCGACUGU